CAGCCGCCGCGGGAAUACGUAGGUCCCGAGCGUUGUCCGGAUUUAUAGGGCGUAAAGGGAGCGCAGGCGGUUUAGUAAGUCUGAAGUUAAAGGCAUUGGCUCAACCAAUGUAUGCUUUGGAAACUGUUAGACUUGAGUGCAGAAGGGGAGAGUGGAAUUCCAUGUGUAGCGGCGAAAUGCGUAGAUAUAUGGAGGAACACCGGUGGCGAAAGCGGCUCUCUGGUCUGUCACUGACGCUGAGGCUCGAAAGCGUGGGUAGCGAACAGGAUUAGAUACCCCAGUAGUCCCUGUCUCUUAUACA
RNAcentral lists this ribosomal RNA (301 nucleotides) under uncultured bacterium. RNAcentral describes it as "partial 16S ribosomal RNA". It matches the Rfam family "Bacterial small subunit ribosomal RNA", at positions 509 to 808 of the family's 1533-position model. The record is from RNAcentral.